Molecule: ribosomal RNA, 253 nt
Filed under: uncultured bacterium
Lineage: Bacteria
Description: partial 16S ribosomal RNA
Rfam family: Bacterial small subunit ribosomal RNA
Source: RNAcentral
UACGUAGGGUGCGAGCGUUAAUCGGAAUGACUGGGCGUAAAGCGUGCGCAGGCGGUUUGCUAAGACCGAUGUGAAAUCCCCGGGCUUAACCUGGGAACUGCAUAGGUGACUGGCAGGCUAGAGUAUGGCAGAGGGAGGUAGAAUUCCACGUGUAGCAGUGAAAUGCGUAGAGAUGUGGAGGAAUACCGAUGGCGAAGGCAGCCUCCUGGGCCAAUACUGACGCUCAUGCACGAAAGCGUGGGGAGCAAACAGG